RNAcentral lists this transfer RNA (66 nucleotides) under Anolis auratus (grass anole). Its description in RNAcentral is "tRNA-Cys". The record is from RNAcentral. Lineage: Eukaryota; Metazoa; Chordata; Lepidosauria; Squamata; Anolidae.
AAGCCCCGGAGCCCUUUUAGGGCUCUUUUUCAAACUUGCAUUUUGACGUGUAUCACUUCAAGGCUU